CUUCAAACCACUGAACCAGUUUUUGCAUAGCUGAGAUGCAGGCAACAGCCCCAUUCAAUCACUAACCUACCUUGUCCUAACAAAGAGCGGGCACUGUCUUUGCAUGUUCCUUCUUCCACCAUCAAAUGCAGUUGAAUGAAAGUCUUUGAGGUUCAAAGGAAAAAUCUGGAUUGACUAACACGGGAAAUAAAGCAAGUUCAUUUAAAAUGUAGAAAGAAGCUGCAAAACAACUGCGUAUCUCUCUGGUAAGUGGCUGGUCAUACCCAGCACCCUUCAUCCAACGCAAUCAAAAAAUCUGAAGAUUUUCCAGAGUGGUCUAAGGACUUUUGUAAACAGGAUUCAAAAACUCUUACAUGAUCAAGGAUUGUGCUCUGGGGAAC
Molecule: long non-coding RNA, 380 nt
Organism: Numida meleagris (helmeted guineafowl)
Lineage: Eukaryota; Metazoa; Chordata; Aves; Galliformes; Numididae
Exons: 4
Source: RefSeq, a predicted model, not a curated record